AUGCUUCUGAGGUAUCCACACAUCUUCUCCUUUCAGAAUCUACUUGCACCUCUGAGAGAUCGGCUUAAUCGUGUGUGUGUGUGUGGGUUGAGGGGGAGGGGAUAUAAAGAGCAAAGCAGAACAAAGAAUAAAAAGAAAUAUUGGAACCAAAGCUUGAUCCAGGAGUUUUUAAAAAAUAUUAUCCCCGUGAAAAAGAGGGAAUAAAGGAUAAUAUAAAACUUAAAGAAAAUGACAUUUUUCAAUCUGGUUUCAAAUGAGGGCAGUUUCUAUGUGUCAAAUAAUCAUCCAGUCAAUAAAUAGUGCCUUGCCUAGAGUUCAGAGCCCAGAGUCUGGGACGACCUAGGGUAUUACAACUGAAAAGGAGGUAGGAAUGGAAAGAGAACUCAAUAGGAGAGGGCUGUGAGACUCCAAGAAGUCAGUUUACAGAGAUGUAAGCAAGCAGGCUUUCUUCUCUGAUGACAAUUUUGAAUGUUAGGUUUAUCUUCCGACUGAAAAGGAAAAGCAAUUGAAAUUCACAAGCAUUUCUUUACUUACUUUGAAUAUGAUACCAUUCAGAGAGUAAUCACGAACCCUCCCACUCAGACAUAAUCACCGUUCUCUGAGUUUAGCUCCUAAAAUGUUAAUUAAAACAAUAUGUUAAACUUAGGGUCUAAAAAAUGAGCAAGGGACAGAGGAAUGCAAGGCUUGCUAGAUGAAUAUAGGUCACUGGGGAGCCAAUGAGGAAGAAGAUUUCUACACAGCUGUCCCUUGUGCUGUCAGUCAGCCUUCUAGAGCAAUGCUGUAGCUUUACUGGGAAAGGGCCAGAUUCAAGAUCAUAUACACUUUAGGAGAUAGGCCAGGGAGUUGGUCUAAAGUUCUCCAUACUAUGAGAUCUACCUUUCCUUUUGGAUGGCAUGCAAGAGGGCAUUUGGGGAAUGCACAAGAGUAAAGAAGUAUUUAUAGUUAAAGCUCUUGUUGAAGGCGAGAAAAACAAAACAAAGUCCAAAACCAACUCUAACAGAUCUAAAACAAGAGUAGAAACAUUUGCUCACAUAAUAGAACAGUCAAGGAUAGGAUUGUUGUAGCUCUCUCCAGGGUCUCAAAUGAUCUUAUCAGGACUUAGUUACUCUUCUCUCUUGACCCUAACUAGACACUUGCCCAGAAGUUCCAGGUUAACACUGAAAUUUCAGGUUCAAGUUCAAUGGAAAAGAGAGCAUCACAUCCCAGUGGUUCAAAACUAAGCUCCAAAAUUAACUCUAAUUGCACCAAAACAAACUGCAUGCCAACACUUGAUUCAAUCCUGUGACUAAGGGAAUAUUAGCACUUUGACUGGCUGGGACUAGGUCAGGCCGAAUAAUUCAACAUUGGAGAUUUUCUGCACUUUUUUUUUAAAUCCCACCAGUUCUUUUUCUCUUUAUACUUUAGUUUGAGUCCUUUGCAUUGAUCUAUCUUUCAGUUAAUGGAAAUUGUGUCCUAUCGACUGUUUAAAUCAAUCUGUUGCAUUCUUACUUUCAUAUAUUACAUUUUAAAAUUUUAGAAUAUCCAUUUGAUUCUUUUGUUAUAGAUUCACCCCAGACAUGUACAAGCAUGUUUAAAGAAGCAUUCUUCAAAAUAGAUAAAACUAGAACCUCAAUACUUUUUAAAAAUUAUGUUAAUAAUCUUAAUUAUUCUUAUAUAUAUAAAAUAAUAUAUAGAGACCCUUG
Molecule: long non-coding RNA, 1682 nt
Organism: Papio anubis (olive baboon)
Lineage: Eukaryota; Metazoa; Chordata; Mammalia; Primates; Cercopithecidae
Source: Ensembl